AGCACAGUGUGGGAACUGAGCUGCCUUAGACACAAAAGUGUUACCUGCUUCCUUGUCCUGCAUUGUGGAAGAAUGUUGCCUGCCCUUAAGCUAAGCUGCCUGCUGGACAGAAGGACUCUGCAGACUGCAUCAGUGGCUACCAGAACAGGCAAAAGUCAGUCUUGAGGAGCACUAAAGGUAAUGCAGCAAGUCUGACUGCUUGUGCAGGAAAGGUGCCAAAGGAGCUAGUGCACAGCUUGGGUCACAGAGCCUCCCUCCAAGCUGGGCACAAUGACAAGAACUUUAAUUUCUUCAAAUACUCAUGUCAUUUUGGGAUUCUCAGGCCUCCAGCUCUUCCUCUAUCAAAGUAUUCUUCAGAAUACAUCAAUCUAUUUAAACAGAAAAGCUUCUGCAAGACACACCUUAAAGGUAUGUAAUCUCAGCUUUGCAAGUGUGUGAAAAUGUAAUUUGCAUACAGGACUUUUUAAAACUUUACAAUGUUAACCCUGAGAAAAAAAAAGUCUGUUUUCUCCUGUUAACUUUAUAAUACAUUUUAUUUUUAGCAAGCCCUUUCUCCCAUUUCUAAUCUAUAAAAGCUGAUGAAUGAGAAGACUGAUGGCCACAGGUGGCCCUUUUUUUUCCACUCCACAUUUGUUACCAAGGACUAAGGUGUGUGAGCUCAUCAGGGGUUUUCUAAGUGUUAAAAAAGGAGGAGGGGGGGAUUUUUCUUGCUUUUUUUUUUUCCUUGUGGAAGUUGGGUUCCUAGAACAAGCUCCAUUUUAAUACACUUUUCUCUGUAAUCAAUGUCUCUUGUAUUAACUCUGUCAGGAUGGCCUUUUCUAAGAGUAAUUUCACUCAAAGAGUAAAACUUAAAGGAUUCUCUAAUGCAAUUCUUUCACUAUGACAAGAAAUUUCUGCUUCCAAAACCUCCAGUACAAUUUCUUCCAACUCUUUUCUUUUCUCCCACCAAGGCUGAAUCUCAUAUUUAGCACCAAAAAAACCUCUAAAAACAGUAUUUCACAUUCUAAAAUCUUUUACAAAAAGAGCAAAAAUAAUCCAUU
Oenanthe melanoleuca is the source of this 1040-nucleotide long non-coding RNA. RefSeq lists it as uncharacterized. The record is from RefSeq and is a predicted model, not a curated record. NCBI's taxonomy places the organism in Eukaryota, Metazoa, Chordata, Aves, Passeriformes, Muscicapidae. The transcript has 4 exons.